UACGUAGGUGGCAAGCGUUGUCCGGAAUUAUUGGGCGUAAAGCGCGCGCAGGCGGUCCUUUAAGUCUGAUGUGAAAGCCCACGGCUCAACCGGUGGAGGGUCAUUGGAAACUGGAGGACUUUGAGUACAGAAGAGGAAAGCGGAAUUCCACGUGUAGCGGUGAAAUCGCGUAGAGAUGAUGGAGGACACCAGUGGCGAAGGCGGCUUUCUGGUCUGUAACUACGCUGAGGCGCGAAAGCGUGGGGAGCAAACGG
This 254-nucleotide ribosomal RNA is filed under the name uncultured bacterium. RNAcentral describes it as "partial 16S ribosomal RNA". It matches the Rfam family "Bacterial small subunit ribosomal RNA", at positions 524 to 775 of the family's 1533-position model. The record is from RNAcentral.